This 171-nucleotide unclassified non-coding RNA is filed under the name uncultured Trimmatostroma. RNAcentral describes it as "sequence contains ITS2". Lineage: Eukaryota; Fungi; Ascomycota; Dothideomycetes; Mycosphaerellales; Mycosphaerellaceae. The record is from RNAcentral.
UCCUCUCUCAAACCCCCGGGUUUGGUGUUGGACCGCGUUGGCCUUCACCGGCCAACUGGUCUCAAAGACAAUGACGGCGUCCCAGGGACCCUCUUCGCACUGAGCUUUCCGGAGCACGCGUAGAGUUUCAAGGGCCCAGGGACCCGGUCGCCUCUAAAAAACUUCUUUUCA